GGGAAAUUGCCCUGAUGUGGGGGAUAACCAUUGGAAACGAUGGCUAAUACCGCAUAAUACCUUCGGGUCAAAGAGGGGGACCUUCGGGCCUCUCGCGUCAGGAUAUGCCCAGGUGGGAUUAGCUAGUUGGUGAGGUAAUGGCUCACCAAGGCGACGAUCCCUAGCUGGUCUGAGAGGAUGAUCAGCCACACUGGAACUGAGACACGGUCCAGACUCCUACGGGAGGCAGCAGUGGGGAAUAUUGCACAAUGGGCGCAAGCCUGAUGCAGCCAUGCCGCGUGUGUGAAGAAGGCCUUCGGGUUGUAAAGCACUUUCAGCAGUGAGGAAGGCGGGUACGUUAAUAGCGUAUUCGUUUGACGUUAGCUGCAGAAGAAGCACCGGCUAACUCCGUGCCAGCAGCCGCGGUAAUACGGAGGGUGCGAGCGUUAAUCGGAAUUACUGGGCGUAAAGCGCAUGCAGGUGGUUCGUUAAGUCAGAUGUGAAAGCCCGGGGCUCAACCUCGGAACUGCAUUUGAAACUGGCGGACUAGAGUACUGUAGAGGGGGGUAGAAUUUCAGGUGUAGCGGUGAAAUGCGUAGAGAUCUGAAGGAAUACCGGUGGCGAAGGCGGCCCCCUGGACAGAUACUGACACUC
This 633-nucleotide ribosomal RNA is filed under the name Vibrio mediterranei. RNAcentral describes it as "bacterial SSU rRNA". It matches the Rfam family "Bacterial small subunit ribosomal RNA", at positions 120 to 748 of the family's 1533-position model. The record is from RNAcentral. Lineage: Bacteria; Pseudomonadati; Pseudomonadota; Gammaproteobacteria; Vibrionales; Vibrionaceae.